RNAcentral lists this transfer RNA (72 nucleotides) under Pangasius djambal. RNAcentral's name for it is "tRNA-Glu". It matches the Rfam family "tRNA". Rfam says of the family: Transfer RNA (tRNA) molecules are approximately 80 nucleotides in length. Their secondary structure includes four short double-helical elements and three loops (D, anti-codon, and T loops). The record is from RNAcentral. Lineage: Eukaryota; Metazoa; Chordata; Actinopteri; Siluriformes; Pangasiidae.
UCUCUGGAGGACUAGUGGUUAGGCCACGGCGCUCUCACCUCUGUGGCCUGGGUUCCAUUCCCGGCCAGGGAA